AUACGGAGGAUGCGAGCGUUAUCCGGAUUUAUUGGGUUUAAAGGGUGCGUAGGCGGUCGGGUAAGCGUAGGGUGAAAGUCCUCUGCUCAGCAGAGGAAGUGCCUUCCGAACUGUCCGACUGGAAUGCUCCUGCCGUGGGAGGAACGUGUGGUGUAGCGGUGAAAUGCAUAGAGAUCACACAGAACACCGAUUGCGAAGGCAUCUCACGAAGGGGCUAUUGACGCUGAGGCACGAAAGCGUGGGGAUCAAACAGGAUUAGAUACCCUGGUAGUCCACGCAGUAAACGAUGAUGACUAACCGUCGGUCAAGACUGAUCGGUGGCCAAGCGAAAGCGAUAAGUCAUCCACCUGGGGAGUACGACCGCAAGGUUGAAACUCAAAUGAAUUGACGGGG
Molecule: ribosomal RNA, 393 nt
Filed under: uncultured bacterium
Lineage: Bacteria
Description: partial 16S ribosomal RNA
Rfam family: Bacterial small subunit ribosomal RNA
Source: RNAcentral